CUACGUGCCAGCAGCCGCGGUAAUACGGAGGAUGCGAGCGUUAUCCGGAUUUAUUGGGUUUAAAGGGUGCGUAGGCGGCCUGUUAAGUCAGCGGUGAAAUCUAGGAGCUUAACUCCUAAAUUGCCAUUGAUACUGGCGGGCUUGAGUGUAGAUGAGGUAGGCGGAAUGCGUGGUGUAGCGGUGGAAUGCAUAGAUAUCACGCAGAACUCCGAUUGCGAAGGCAGCUUACUAAGGUACAACUGACGCUGAAGCACGAAAGCGUGGGUAUCAAACAGGAUUAGAUACCCUGGUAGUCCACGCUGUAAACGAUGAUAACUGGGCGUAUGCGAUAUACAGUAUGCUCCUAAGCGAAAGCGUUAAGUUAUCCACCUGGGGAGUACGCCGGCAACGGUAAAACUCAAAGGAAUUGACGGGGGCCCGCACAAGCGGAGGAACAUGUGGUUUAAUUCGAUGAUACGCGAGGAACCUUACCCGGGAUUGAA
RNAcentral lists this ribosomal RNA (482 nucleotides) under uncultured bacterium. RNAcentral describes it as "bacterial SSU rRNA". It matches the Rfam family "Bacterial small subunit ribosomal RNA", at positions 501 to 985 of the family's 1533-position model. The record is from RNAcentral.